AGCAGAGCUGAUCAUUUAGGAAAAGAGCUAAAACUGCUCAACUAGUUAAAAAACAGCCAGUUAAAGUAACUUCAUCCAUUAAAAACCAUAAAGAUCAAAACCGUUAAGUUAUCAGAGUCACAAAUAUGGCUCUCCUUCCAGCCAAGUGUCUGACAAUGACGUCCAUUGAGCGUAAUGACUAACAGUUGCCCAUAUAAUAGGAGCAACUGCCCUGCUGGCUAAACUAUUGUCUGUCUGUGCACAAACGUACAAAUUGGGCAUUUGUGCACAACACUUAGGAUAAUAGAUGUUGGGUAGAAGAGCUAGUCAGCCUGGAUAAGAUCACAAGAGGAAUGAUUGAGGAACACAAGAGCCAGAAACACUUUAAGCGGUCAAGAUUAUCUCAGCUAAAGAACGCCUAAAUAUCUUCAAGCGUGGGGAACAGGAAACAAUUGUGUUCGGUUUUGCAAUACAUCAAGUCUCGUCAGUUCAGGUGGUCGUUCUUCAUUUUCCAGCGCUCCAGAGCAGUCCCUAAGAAAGGCUAUAUAUCAUUUUAAUCUCAAAAGAGGGUGACAAUGCAGACCACAGAAAAUCUGACGUACAACUCCACCACUUCCCAAUAUGCCGACCUCAACAUUUCUUUUAUGACCACUAGUUUUCCACCAACUGGUGCCUCCGAGAUCAACUGUUUUAUUGAUGCCCAGCUAGCAUUUAUAGCAACUGCCACAGCUGGCGGCAUCAUCCUGAUCCUCCUAACCUCCACCAUAGCACUGGCAUGUACCGUCUCAAGUCAGAAACGCCACCAGCGGACGCCCCGUCCAUCCAGAAGCAACGCAGACCUUGUGAGUGGAACAGGCUAUUGGGGGACAGAGAACAGUGAGGGCGGCAUCGUGGGUCCAUGUGAAACCAGCGUUUUACUGGAGGAAGUAAAAACCGAUGGCGAGGAAGAAGAGGGCAAUGAUGGCGCGGCAGGUUCGAGCCAGUAUAUCCACCCUUCUAACACAUCCAGAGAGACAGAGAGCAUCCCAACAACAAUGCAAAGCUCACCAUCCAGGGAUUCCUGCAUAGAUCCCAUCGGUUUGGAGAAUAUGCCUCUGAUGGUGUGAAUUUUAAAAGCUUUUUUGUAUGCUAGCCACUGAAGGCAGGUUUGAUUAUUAUAAUUUUUUUUUUUUUUUUUUUUUAAUAAACGGCUUCAACAGAAUAUAAAAAAGUAAGCUAACAGAAGAGCACAUUUAAAAGUGGCCUUACAUGAUUUUUGGGAAUUGUUUAACCAACUACAAUUAUCUGUUCAUUAGGAUAAAAAGAACAAUUAUGAAAUUGAUUAAUUUGUUAAUUUGUCAUGAAAUGAGGGCAGUUUUCACAUCUCAAUCAGCUCAAAAUAUCUUAGUGAAGAUGACAACGACAAUACAAAAAUGAAAUUUCUGUGUAUGAUUGUAAUUGCGAUCAAAAGGGAGUCUAACAUUAGCAUCGUCUCAAAUGUUUGCUUUUUUUUUUUUGUGAAAAACUGAUUAUGCCUCGAAACUGAAAAAAAGUAUGUUCAUUUGCUCUAGAUCACAAAUACAAGCCCUAUUUAUCUCAUUUUUAAUGUCAUAAGCUGUAGAAGACUUCCGAAUCUUUGGCCGCUGAAUGAACAUGAUGAGAAAAAUCAAGCAC
RNAcentral lists this long non-coding RNA (1632 nucleotides) under Danio rerio (zebrafish). RNAcentral describes it as "si:ch211-209m20.6 (ENSDARG00000097767.2)". The record is from RNAcentral. Lineage: Eukaryota; Metazoa; Chordata; Actinopteri; Cypriniformes; Danionidae.